AUUGAACGCUGGCGGCAUGCCUUACACAUGCAAGUCGAACGGUAACGGGCCUUCGGGUGCCGACGAGUGGCGAACGGGUGAGUAAUACAUCGGAACGUGCCCGAUCGUGGGGGAUAACGAGGCGAAAGCUUUGCUAAUACCGCAUACGAUCUACGGAUGAAAGCAGGGGACCGCAAGGCCUUGCGGGGACGGAGCGGCCGAUGGCAGAUUAGGUAGUUGGUGGGAUAAAAGCUUACCAAGCCGACGAUCUGUAGCUGGUCUGAGAGGAUGAUCAGCCACACUGGGACUGAGACACGGCCCAGACUCCUACGGGAGGCAGCAGUGGGGAAUUUUGGACAAUGGGCGCAAGCCUGAUCCAGCCAUGCCGCGUGCAGGAUGAAGGCCUUCGGGUUGUAAACUGCUUUUGUACGGAACGAAAAGCCUUCUUUUAAUACAGGAGGGUCAUGACGGUACCGUAAGAAUAAGCACCGGCUAACUACGUG
RNAcentral lists this ribosomal RNA (482 nucleotides) under uncultured bacterium. RNAcentral's name for it is "partial 16S ribosomal RNA". It matches the Rfam family "Bacterial small subunit ribosomal RNA", at positions 30 to 507 of the family's 1533-position model. The record is from RNAcentral.